Molecule: long non-coding RNA, 16643 nt
Filed under: Sorghum bicolor (sorghum)
Lineage: Eukaryota; Viridiplantae; Streptophyta; Magnoliopsida; Poales; Poaceae
Description: long non-coding RNA (SBIC_LNC003028)
Source: RNAcentral
AAUGAAGCAUAGUAACUUUGCCUAAACAUGUUACUAAUUGCAUGUUUGGUUUUGGUUUCAGGGUUUGCUAUGGUGCUAGUUAGCAAGUUGGUGGAUGAUUUGCCACUCGAAGUUGAUUUAGGUGCUAGUCUCUCUCUUUUGGAUAACCAGUUACAUGAGCUUCUUAUCUUAGUUCGGGUAGCAAGUAGGUUUACUUGGAGUAUGUUGGUGGGACAUGUAAUAUGAAAUUGGUAAUUAGCAAGUGACUAUUGUAUAUAAUUAGCAAGUGACAUGUAUAUAAGACCCUGGCAGAUCACCUUUGCCUCUUGUUGCUGCAGAUUGAUACUCAUCAUGUUUUGACUAGUUCCAUAUUAAGUGACAUUACAUAUAUACAAGAAUCAAUGUAUGGAUAAUUUGAUCACUUUUGAAUGUCAUCACUUUUGUGUAUGUGAAUCAAUGUAUGGCUAAUGUUUGAUCAUCGGCUAUACGUUUAGAGCAGCUUUUAUUUUUUUACCUAUUUAAUUGAGCUCGAUGGACUGUCCGUUGCUAAAAGUUCUAAUUGCUAUGGAUUGUCCAUUGCUAAAAGCUCUAAUAGGCUGUCUUUUGCUAAAGGUUGGACUGUCGAACUGUUCAUCGCUAAAUAUGAUGUCCGUCGCUAUAUACAUACAACGACGGCUUCAAUAGCAACGACAGCGGUCCGUCGCUAUAGCCUUUAGCAACGGACUGUCCAUUGGUGUACACCCCUUUUAGCAACGGACUGUCCAUCGCUGUUUAAAGGUUGUGGUGUAGUGAAUGAAAAAGCAAUAUUCAUUUGAAAUAAUAUGUAUACAUAUUAAAUUACUUCAAAACUUUCUUCUAACGUUCCUUGAUGCGAAGUCAUCGAUGAUGGUGUCAAUAUUGAUCUCAUCCAAUAAUCACUUCUCAAUGCAUAAUAUUGUCAAUCCAUUUAACCUCUCUUGUGACAUUAUAAAUCUCAAAUAGUUCUUCAUCAAUUUAAACUUAGAGAAACAAUUAGUAGCUAUAAUUUCAUAAAGUAAGGAUGACAUGAGAAACAAUUACUAACUAAAUUUCAGAUUACCUCGAUGGUUGCUGUGGCCUGGCGCCUGCCUUGGUGCCUCCUCUGCUGGAACUGUCCAUUGCCGAACAGUAAUUAGAGACGAUGGAUCAAGUGUGAGUUAAGGUCUUGUUUAGUUUACCCUAACAUCUAAAAACUUUUUAAAUUUCCAUCAGAUCGAAUCUUUCGGCACAUGUAUAAAAUAUUAAAUAUAGAUAAAAAUAACUAAAAAUAUGAUUUUUCUGUAAUUAACAAGAUGAAUUAUUUAUACCUAGUUAGUCCAUUGAACAAUAAUUACUAAAUACAAACAAAAGUAUUAUAAUAUUAAAAUUUAAAAUUUUUUUGGAUCUAAACCAGGGUAAGAUUAGGGCCGUGUGAUAAGUGUGAAUUGUCGGCUGCUCUGCUGCUGGAAAGUCAAAAGUGGAACUCCGACGCCACCAGGCCCCAGCUGCUGUCCGCCCAAGCUGCACACGCAGCCGUGCAGGAAGGCCCGAAGGCGGAAGGUGACGUCUCGCAUGACGGCUGGCUCACAUCGCACAUGCCAUGCUCACAUGGAGUAGGAGAGUCAAUCUGGCAUGUGUGUAUACGUAUUACGUACUGGUGUAUACAUUGGGUAAGAAAGCUGCUUGGCUUGGGCUGGACUUAGACGAUACUUUGGCAUUUCACUAAUCAUGAAAAACUGGUUUCGCAAUUUUAUUAUCCCACAAAGUGGUUUUGUUCUUUUACCAUUAUGAACCAAGUGUACCCCGCUGGAUUGCCAUUUGGGGUGUUCGAAUUGGUGAGAAAAAAAGAAGGCCAAUCCUUCCACUUCUACCCCUGCCUAUUCUCCCGUUCAUCGUCAAAACAGAUCACUGAUCAGUUGAAUGCCCCGCCGUUGUAAGCCCUAGUUUAGUUUUAGAUAAUUGAUGAAACCCUAAUACUAACAUUUAUACUAAGUGUGUGUAGACUUAAUGAGGUUGGUACAUAACAAGUGAUGGAGCAACCGAUGAUCAUGAUGAUGAAGGUGAUGAACACAAGAUGAUCAAGUGCUCAACUUGGAAAAGAAGAAACAGAAAAACAAAGCUCUAUGGAGAUCAAGGCAAAGUAUUGCUUAGGGUUUUAGUUUUGGUGAUCAAGACACCAUAGAAGGUGUGAUCACAUUUAGGAUAGAUAGUCGUACUAUAAAGAGGGAAAUUCUUUGGCUAAGCGGUUAUCGAGUGCCACUAGGUGUCAUUGUUCAUGUGUAUGCAUUUAGAACAUAGUGAGCUAACUUAACUCCUUCGAAGAAAAUGAUUGUGAAAAUGCUAACACACUUGCACAUGUUGGUACACACAUGGUAGUCUUGGCACACUUUGAGAAGGAGGUAGAGUUUGAAGGGUAGAGAGGGGUUUGAGAUUCGGUGUUUUUGAGAAAAUGAAAUGCAUAUUUUCUAUUACACUGGUGGAAAGUUUGGAGAAGUCAUGAGAGUGUUUUUCACGGACGCUGGCCUCAGAGGCACCGGACGCUGCCUCUAAGUGUUCGGUGCACUCUCGUUUCUGGUAGAGGUGAAGGGAGCACCGGGCGCCCAGCACCGGACUCGGGCUAGACCCUGUUCAUGCGUCCGGUGUGGCUUGACAUCAACAGUAAGAGUAUGAGGGUUUCUGACUGAGAGCACCGGAUGCUCAGGAAGCUUCCGGUGGUGUGAGUCUGGUGAUCCCGUGUCUUUGCAACCCUCUCUACGUACGUGUCCGGUGUGUCCCGGACACGUCCCGUGCUCACUUGACUCCAUCCGGUGGUUUGAAUAUGACCGUUAGAGAUUGACACGCGAGAUUCAAGUUGUGGACACAUGGCUGUGUUCUGAGCACCAGACGUAGGGGUUGAGCGUCCCGUGACCCCAUGUUCAGCCCAGUGAAAGAGCCAACGGCUCUAUUUGUUUGAGGGGCUUAUAAAUAUUUGUUGGCCGGCUUGGGGCUCACUUUCUUGACAUUCUUGACUACUAGACAUCCUUGUGAGCCUAAGCAAACACCUCCCACUCAUCUCCUUCAUAGAUUAAACAUCUUUGUUAGAUUGAGAGUGAUUCCAAGUGUAUUUGCCUGAGUCAUUGCAUCUAGUGGCACUUGGGGAUCGAUUUGGCUAUGGUUUUCUUGUUACUCUUGGUGGUUGCCGCCACCUAGAUGGCAUGGAGCAGCGGAGGAGCAUUGGCCUGAGUUGGUGAUUGUUCGUGGCCAUCUCCCAGUGAUUGUGAGGGAACUAUGCCUACCUUGGCGGAGAGCCAAAGGUAACUUUAGUAGAUUGCGCGUGUCAUCGAGCUACCUCACUUGUGGGUAGGUUCUUGCGGUGUCCUAGUGAGGACAAGGUUCGUGCUACACCUCUUAGCCGCCGAUCCGCCAAGUGUUGAUCGACACAACGGGGAUGUAGCGUGCCAGGAAGCACAUGAACCUCGAGAGAAAAAUUGGUGUCUCAAUUGUGUUUGAUUGGCAUUCUCCUAGUGCUUGAUUAUUCAUAUAUUGGUGAUUGAUUCAUCCCCUACACGACAGUAUAAAUAUCUCAUCCUCUUCAUCUACUCACCGCAAAGUAGUGUAAUUAGUUUAGUUGCUUACUUUCUCUUGAGUAUCAUAGUUCACUAGUGUAGCUUGUAGUGACAUAGUUCUUGUGUGCCUAGUGAUCAUAUCAACUAGAAUUGUUGGAUAGGUGGCUUGCAAACACCACUUUUAGAGCUUGAGCAAAAAGCUUCGCUUUGUUAUUUAAUAACCACUUUCUCUAGUGAGUUUGUAGAAAUUUUAAAUAGGUUAUUCACCCCCUCUAGCCAUAUUUGGGCCUAUCAAGUGGUAUCAGAGCCGUGGUCACCAUUUUGUGAAGGCUUAACAACCUCGGUGCUCAAAUUAUUGCUCAAAGAGUGUUCAACCAUGUUGGGGCAAACCACAGUUCUUUGAUGGGACAAGUUCCUUUGACUAUUGGAAGAGAAAAAUGAAAAUGUACCAUGGAUCAAUCAAUGAUAAAGUGUGGGAAGUCACGGAGAAUGAUUUUGUGAUCCUUGAUCCCGCCAACCCCACCAACGAUGAGAGAGCAAACAAGCAAUGCAAUACAAUGGCUCUGAAUACAAUCUACAAUGGCAUUGAUUCAAAGGUGUUUGAACAAGUCAAAGAUCUUAAGAAGGCAAGUGAAGUGUGGACAAGGCUGGAAGAGACCUCUGAGGGCACUACAACGGUAAAAAGUGCCAAAUUAUACAUGCUCAAGGACAAGUUAUCCAACUUCAAGAUGAAGGAUUAUGAGUCCAUAAUGAAGAUGUCCUAUAGGCUCCAAGUCAUCAACAAUGAUCUCAAAGGCCUUGGUGAGAAAGUAAAGGAUGGAGACUUCAUUCACAAGUUCUUGAUGUGCUUACCCAAGAGGUUCAAGACAAUGAAAACAAUCAUCUUUAGAGAGGAUUGAAGGGUGUUUCUCCCAAUGAGGUACUUUGAGAUGUCAUGACCAGAGAUCAAUACAAUGACAAUGAUGAUGAUGAGUUCAUGAAGAAGGAUGAUGAUGAUAAAAAGAAGAGUGUAGCAUCCAAAGCUAGAUCUUCAUCCAAGACCAAGAACAAGGGCAAGGCCAAGAAGGAAGAAUCAAGUGAUGAGGAGUGCUCUAAUGAUGAUAGUGAUGAUGAAGCACUAGCAAUCUUUGUCCGCAAAUUUGGCAAGAUGAUGAAGAACAAGGGCUACCAUACAAGAAAGAGAAGGGACAACUCCAAGAACAAGGAGUAUGUGAGGCUAUGCUACAAGUGCAAGGGUUCCGAUCAUAUUGUGGCGGAUUGUCCUUACAAUAGUGACAAUGAUGAGCAUGAGAAGAAGAACAAGAAAGAGAAGAAAGAAAACAAAGAGAAGAAGAUGGUCUUCAAGAAGAAGAGGAAGGGUGGAUCCUAUGUUGUGACAUGGGAUAGUUAUACUUCUUCUGAUGAUGAUUCAAGUGAUGAUGACAAGGCAUCCAAAAAGAAGGUGGUUGCUAGUAUUGCUAUCAACAACAAGCCAUCACUCUUCGACACUCCUUCAUUCUUUAUGGCUAAGGGCCACAAGGUACAAUAUGAUGAGAGGGAAAGUGAAAGUGAACAUGAAGAUGAACAUGAUAGUGAUAGUGAUGAUGAAAAUUAAUUCACUAAAGAACAACUCAUGGACAUGUUAGAGCAAACUGAUUCACUUAUUCAUUGUAAAAACAAGAAGUGCAAUGAAUUAUCCAAGAAGUUAGAAGCUCUUGAGCAAUCCUUUGAUGAGCUCGAUGCUACUCAUGAGAGGCUAGUGGAUGCCCAUGAGAAUAUUGGCAAGGCUCACACCAAGCUUGAAAAAGCUCACUCCUUGUUGUUAGAAGAGAACAAGGAAAAGGUUGUUGUAUCAUGUGAUGUGGGCACAACAUGUAACUUAAUUAAAGAAUCACCCAACUCAUCUAUUGUUGUUGCCACUAACUCUUCUUGUAGGUCUUCAUCCACCACCACUAAAUCUACCUCUACUUCUAGUGUUGGUGUCAUGUGUGAUGCUUCACUAAAGGUUGAGAAUGAGACUCUCAAGAUAGAGGUGGAUGAGCUCACUCACACGCUAGGCAAAGCCUAUGGUGGUGAGGCCCGCUUGCUAAAGUGCUUGGGUAGCCAAAGGUUUUCUCUCAACAAAGAGGGAUUAGGCUACACCCCCAAGAAAGGCAAGAUGACCUUCAACUCACAAGCCUAGCUUUGUGAAGAGCAAUGGUCAUUAUUGCAAUAGAUGCAAGCAAGUUGGGCACCUAGAGCUUAAUUGCAACAAAAUGAACAAGAACAAGAAAAUUGCUAAUGUAUCUUACAUUGCUUUUGAUUCUUGUUAUGUGCUCACCAAGGGUGAGAAGGGUGUGCAUGCUAAGUUUGUUGGUACACCAAUUGUAGGACACACUUCAAUAUUCCAGUGGUUGAUGGGCCAUCGUUUGAUCCUAUUAAGGUCUAGGGUUCAAACCAAUUGAAAGGCGGUUCAGUUAUGCCAACCGUCUGUAGAAAAUAUGAAAUCGGUUUUUAAAAAUAGGAAAAAAAAAUAUUUACAGGGAAAGCCCAUUGGCUAUUCGCCCGCUUGUCUCUGCCUCAAGUCGCAAGUCGCGCAUUUUUUCACGUAAAAUCACGUGCUACGCGGUUGGUGGGAUUCGAACCUGAGACCUUGUUAACGGUCCUUAAGUAUCAAAUUUAAUUAUCAAAUAAACAAAGAAAAGGAUCCAAACGAAAUCAACAUCCAGACUUAGGGUUUUAUUUGACAGAAUUCCAUGAGUUUUGGUGUUUGUCUAUUUCUGCAGGGGGUAAUCAGGAAACACGGAAGAAAGGACAACACGUCGGGAUUACAUAGAGAUAUUAACGUGCCGUGCAAUUAUCUUACAUCUAGAAGACUCUAGAAGCCACGGGAAGGAAGCGGAGGCCGAACGGGGCCGGGCACUGGGCGCCCGCCCAGUUGCCCUGGGCGCCCGCCCCCUGUUGGAGCCCAAUCAGGACUCUGUUUCGGGGAAGAUCUCCAUCGACUUAAAGGAUUAAGGAUAACCGUUCAAUCAAUGUCGGUUUGAUCCAACGGCCCAUAUGUAAAACUAGACCCCCUGGCCCCUGGAGGAGAGAGCCUCUCAACCCUAAUUCAUUAUUCUCAAGAGAGAAGAAGCCUCUGAUCAAGAUUAGAGCCACCACAUCAAUUAGACAUCUAGAUUAGCAUAGCUACAUAGGAUUAGAACUAGAAAGAGUCAAUCUUCGAUUCUUUUCCGGAUCUGUCAAGAGGAUUCUUGGUAAUUCUCUAAUUGUGCGUCUAAUUGCUUUCUAAUUAUCUUUGUUCUUCAAUAUUAUGAAUAUGACUUUGUUCUACUUCGAUAUAUUGCUUAUGACUUUGCUCUACUUGCUUAUAUUCAAGAUUAUAUUGUUCUUAGUUUAUCAUAGUUAUGUACUUGGCUUAGUUAGAUUGGAUCUAUAUACAUGCUUAGGAUCAUAUAGCGUUUAUCCAUCGGAUCCAUAGGUAAAUGAUACAUAUUGUGUAGGCAUGGUGCUUAUACCGUAUUUAUCUGCGAUUGUACCCAAUAUGCCAAAUCGUGGGUUAGUUCGUGAUAGUGACAGCUUCAUUGAUUCUUAUAUAGUCCCCCUCUCGUGUAUUGGGCCGGCAGAGCAACAUUAUUACAGGGGAGUGAUUGCUACGUUUCUCAUUUACCUUGCUAAUAUCACUAUGCAUAGGCGUAGUCUUGUCUCACAAUGAUUGCUAAGUAUGCUUGCACUAAUUAUGAUAAUGCUAGACUAUAUAAUUGAGAAUAACUUAGGAAAUAUUCUUGUAGUUCAUUCUAAUACCAUGCUAAUGACUUCCUAGAGUAUCUAAUUGAGGUGCUUAUCAUAUUUAUUAUGUGGCUAAGUUAUGAUCAGAUUAAUUAUCUUUGUCACUAUUCAUUACUUCAUAUAUCUUUUAUGUGACACUUACCCCUGUAUGAAAGAGUUAGAUAUAUGUUCUCAAUUAUACAUGCAAUGAUAGAUACUCAAUCUCAUAUUCUAUUCUGUAAUCAAUAUUGAUGAUUGUUAAUCCCUUCCCAGUGGUAAAAAUAUAAAUAACGAUACCCGGAAUACUUCCCGGUUAAAAUGCUACAUCGGUAUUAAUCUAUGCGCUUGCAGAUCCCAUUCAUUAUUUAUUUAGAAGAGCAAUUGCAUAUUUGAAUACCGCGUCUCUCAUGUCAUGCUGGGGAUGACAACUUGGCUUAAGUGGUGUGAGGGAUAGGUUUGGCAUUUUUGGCACCGUUACUAGAAUUAGAAAACUUAGUCUACUUUUGGUAAUGAUGUUAAGAAUACCCAACAGACCUCGCCCUCCUCUACCACUACACCUAUCACUCACUUGUGUUUGUAUUAGAGUUUAGUUCCCCACAUACUAUCAUAAACCAAGCAUAAAUUGAUGAUUUGAGGCCCUAAACGGAUUCAAAUGAGGUUCGAGAUUUUGGUCUAGCCCUAGUCCGCCUUAAUCUAUGAAACCUAUUUUAAGUUUUUCGCAACUACUAUAGCUACUAUGACUAUGAUGACAACAACAACUACUACUUGUCGUACUCGUAUAGACAAAAUCAAAUCACAAAACACAAUCUCUGCAAGCUUCAAGACUAUAAUAGAGCAGUGGCAUGUUUUGGCUUGCGAGUGGCUCACGAGCCAGCUCGAGCUGGCUGGUUAUCUCUAACGACAUGAAAAACAUGCUCGGCUAAUUAGAAAAAUACAUCAAGCCGAGUCAAGCAGAGCCGAGUUAGACACGAGUCGAGCUUCGAGUUUUUGGUCCAGGCUUGGUCCGCCUUGGUCCGCCUUGAUCCGAUCUGUUUUCAUCGCUAUCAUCUAUAUAUUCAUCGUUGUAGGCAAGUGGGCGAAGUGAAUCAUUGAUGACUAAGGCCUUGUUUAGUUCCAAAUUUUUUUGUAAAAUGGGCAUUGUAGCACUUUCGUUUGUAUUUGACAAACAUUGUCCAAUCAUAGACUAGCUAGGCUCAAAAGAUUUGUCUCGCAAAUUACAGGCAAACUGUGCAAUUAAUUUUUUUAUCUAUAUUUAAUGCUCCCUGCUUGUGCCAUAAGAUUUGAAGUGACGGAAAAUCUAAAAAAAUUUGCAAAAUUUUAUGGGAACUAAACAGUCUAUAUAGCUAAUACGAUUUUUUUCUAUGUUGACCCAACUUUCCAUAAACUUAAUGGCCUAUUACAACAUGUAUAUGUAUUUCAUUGAUUUGAUCAAAAAUUUGGAGACCUCGAUAACUAACAAAUUUUGGUAAUCUAAUUUUUUUGGGUAAAUUUUAGAAUCUACAAAUGCCACUGUCAUCACCAAUCCAAAAACACCUGGCGGCCCGCUUUCUAGCGAAAACAAAGCAGUGAGCGCCAAAUACCCCGCACUUUUUAUUUUUUGCGGUGCUAUGCAACCAUGCCUGCCCCCUCCAAAACCCAAUCGACACCUCCACUUAAUUUAAUCACCAGGGAAGGCAGCCGCCAGUUAGGUUUUGAGAGCAUAUUAGAUGGCGACCUCCUCGGCAGCUGCAGGAACAACGGAGAUGGAGCGGCAACCCGCAUCGACGACGGCAACCCCAGGGUACACGACGCCGACGCCAACACUAGCACGCACGAGCGGCCGCCACCAUCCACGACGAUGAGACACGGGGCCAUGGCGGCGCUUUUCGGCACAGGUACGAGGCCGACCCCAGCUUCUUCAAUCGACCAUGAUGGAGAGGGCGGCAGUCAAGAAAUCAACAGCCGACAUCAUUCCUCAAGUCUCAGACCAAACUUCAGGCCAUUCGACUCACACCCUCGGUAAGAUUCAAUUAACUGAUAUCUGCGCUUAACAUAAUCCUUCAUUUACUGAAAUAGUCCAGAUUCUGGUAAUGGUGUAUGUAGGGACAGAGCUAUGUUAGCACUAAUUCUCCAACGUGUCUGCACCCCGAAACCUAAACGAGUGGAUAUAUUCUUCAGUUAUACACAUCCUAAAUGAGUUUACAUUAAAAGAUUCUUGGUCUGUAGAAAGUACAGAGAUGAUAUCCUGAAAAGUUCAGCAUCUUAAUAGGAGUACUGAAAGUCUAAACAUAUGCAAACACAUCUAUAUAAUAGGAGUACUGAAAGCCUAAACAUGCAAACACAUCUAUACAAUACGAGUUUACAUAUGUUUCAUUAACAGAAUUUAGACUGCUCAUAGUUCCAAAUAUAUAUGUCUCCCAGCAAACUAUGUCAUCCAACUGAUGAAACCAGCACCAAUACAAAUACAUAUUUCUUCUAGCAAACUAUGUCCUCUGCCAAUAAAUUUUAUUGCUUGUUCAUUAGUGUACUUAAAUAAAAGUACUCAGUUUCCCUUCAACUAUCAUCCAAGUAUGUAUGAAUGUGUUUUCCAGGGAAAAUACUACGAUGUCAUUGGGAGAAACAGAAUCUUGGACUCUAUAUUUUCGUCUCAUAGGAGCACCAUCUCCACAGGAUAUAGCUGAAAUUGAAUUAGAUAGGAAUGAACUCACGUUUGGGAACUUAUUAACAAUGAAAACACGUUUAGGUUACUCUGUGAGGGACUUCUUAUACUAUAAGGAAUGAAGAGGUAACAGUCUAGCAACACUUUGUGAAAUUGAAACAGAACUAGAUGCAAGUGGAAUGAUAACAAUGAAUGAUGAGGAGAGAGAAGUCAGAUUAGUAUUGAGCAGGGAUAGAAUAACUGAGUGAAAUGUAUCCAUAACUCCCAUGAAACUACCUCCGGGUACAGCAUUUUAUGAGGAUGAAUUCACAAAUGAGCCCCUUGAUGACUACAAGGACUGGCUUGCAGAAAUGCAUGUCGACAACGUAGGCCAUGGUAAGUUGACUUGCUACACUGGUGUCCAUAACUGUAUCUUAAUUCAUUGAUAGGCAUUUGAAUAACAUAAGCAUGUUUCCAGAACUUUGUUAUACAUUUAGAGAAGACACAGUCAAAGCAUGAGAAUGGUAAUGUCUGGAAGGAAAACUCGAUGACAUCGGUAAUAUAAUAUCUCUCUCCAAGUUGUAAAUUAAUUUAAUAGUUCUUCAGAUACCAAUUUUAACGUAUGCUCUAUUAUUGUCGGAGGCAUAUGCAGAGCUCCCCAGCACUCAGUCAGGUCAAUCCAGCAAUCCAACAACACCAAUACAGCGCCCAAGUCAUGCUCGUCGUGAAAAGCAACUGGUGAACGAUGGUUAGCAUUUUUUUGGAAAACAUUACUAUAAGGUGCAAUUAUAUUCCACAAUAUUGACAGGAACAUUUACUUAAUCUAUUGUAUGUCAUUUUGAAGGGCGAUGUGGUAGUGAAAAGAGGAAGUUUAAAGGACGUGGGCCCAUCAAAGGUUUAAAUGUAUCUAACAAAAGAGCUAGGCAGGGCACUAUGAAACUGGAUGUUCAAAUCUCUAGACUGGGAGGACCUGUUGGUGGUAACCAAUGAUCUUUUGUUGAUGAAGUGGUAGUGUAUACAAGGAAAAGUGCUCCACUUAUUGGAGUGAGAAAGUGGAAAGACAUCGAUUUUGAAGUGAAAAAGAGGAUAGCAACUGAUGUAAUGGUAAGUUUCGCAUAUCUUUGGUUUGUUCCAAUCUUAUUUGUGAAAUAGUGUAAGAACUGAUCCACUUUGUGUAUUUGUUUUUUAAAUAGGAAAAGUGGGACCUUGAUGAUACUUUGCAAAACAAAAAAAUGAUAUGGGCCAUCGCUAAUGAGCGCUACAAAGGAUGACGAUCAACAUUUUGUGCAACGUAUAGGGCUUACGACACUUAUGAUGAGAGAAUGCGACAUAAGCCCGAAGACCUACACAUUGUUGAAUGGCACUAUCUAGUAUUGUAUUUCGGCACAGAGGAAUUCCAGGUUUGAUUCCAUUUACUAUUUUUCUUGCCAAAUGCAGUUGUAGAGAUAAAUGUUUUCUUUGGAGGAUUGUUUUUUAAUACAAACACAACAUGCAGAAACUUAGCAAUAUGAAUUCUCAAAACCGUUCACUUGCACAAACAAAGCAUAUGAUGGGAUCAAAGCCUUUCGCUCAGUGCAGCUAUGAACUGGUAAUGAGUUUAGAAGCACAUUGAUGUUUUCUUACUUGAUGAAAUAUUUAUUUGUUUCAUUCUUGCCAAAAUUAGAGAGACCCACAAACUGGUGAAGAACCAAAUGAUGUGGAUCUUUGGGUGAAAACACACAGUAAGGGAGGGAAAUGGACAAAUGAUGCAUCUAAGGCUGUCUAUGUGCGUAUAUAAUUGUUUCUACAGCCCUUACUAAAUGAUUCAUAGUAUUGCUCUUCAUUUCAAUUUUUUUCUUAACAAAGUUUGCAUGUCUUCUUUGUGUCAGGAAUCUGCUUGCAGCAAAAUUGCAGAGAAGGAAAAAGAGUCACCAAAUAGCUUUAUUCCUUUGGUAGAGAGAAACCUUAUUUUUCAGGAAGCAUACAAGCAAACUACUAGAGCUAAAUCAUCCAAGGUUCAUGGUAAUGGGUAUUUGGCAAGGUACCCAAGUAGAAGGCAGCUAAUGACUGAACGUUUUGAGGACCAAGCCUGUUCUGAAAUGGCAUCCCAUAUGGAAAAUGAAGAGCUGAAGGCUACACUCGAGACAAGAACAACUUCAAAGCCAAGUAUCUGAAAGGGAAGCCGAGAAGGAGGAACAUAGGCGUAAGAUGGAAGAAUUGCAGAAAGCAAGGGAGGCCAAUAAAGAACAACUUAGGCAAGAGUUUAUGUCAAUGCUAGCAGCACAAAGGCAAGGACCAACACCGCAGGUAAUAGUAUUGUAAUAUUGGAACUUGUAUAUUUAUCAAGUUAGUAGGUUUGUCUUUUGAUAGGUUUUUUUGUUGCAUACACUUGACUGUCAUCACCGUAAUAUGCUUGCUCAAACUUAGAAGACUAAUCAAUUAAGAUUUUGUCUAUGGGAGCUAAGUAGUAGUAAUGAAAAAUUUUAAAUGCAGGUUAACCAAGCUGCCAUCGAAACAGCAGCCAACGAAACAACAGCUAAUGAAAUAGCGACGAACCAAACACCCCGAGUUGUUUGUGAACCAAUCUUGACUGAAAGGGAAGAAACAACAUAAGAGAAUGAAGGACAAUUAGAUCAGGUUAUUGUAGACUGAAAACUGAUUACAACCAUCAUGAAUUAGUACAUGGUGUGAGAGUCCUAAUAUUUUUCAUGAAAGUUUUGAGUUACAGAAUAACCUACAAAUGAAGCAGAAGGGACAACUCGUAGCUUCAACACCUGCAGGUAACAUUGUGCGCACCACCAGAGGCAGUCUUAACCGAAAUCAAUCACAAAACAAAGAAGGGAAUGCUGCACCAAAUUUCAUUACUUUAAAAAAUUUGUCGGAUGCUGUGGCAAAGAGACGAUCAACCAAAAAGAAUUGAAUGUAAGCUUUGUUUUUCCUAUGCGUUCACAAUGCCUUUCUAUACAUGUGCUUUGCAAUGUCUCUUUACUGAAUAACCUAUCAAAAAAUUGUGAAUGUUCUUUAUUUCAGGACGACAGAGUUUCAGUGUCGGGAUAGUCUAAAUCAGGCACAUGUAAGGUAAAAUUCCUUCCUAUGCUUGACAUUUACUUUGCUUGUGACUAUCUAUUUUUCUGAAUGAUUGUGAGCACUAUGCUAUUGAGCUAAGAUGUGCCCUGUAAAAUAGUACCAAUGGUUUUGGAUAACUGAUGCCCUUUUAUUUUCUUAUAGUCAUUGUCACUAUGUUAUUGUUGUGAACACCUGACCUGCACCUGCUUCUUGUUAUGUGCUUAAAUUUUGGCAUAGCUCAUCUAACCUGCACUAAAUUGGCAGACACUGUUGGAUGGUUCUAAUGGUUUAAGCACUAGAUUCAUGAUAAAUAGAAAUUAACAAGAUCUUAUUGAGGAAUUCUAAACUAGCAUUACUUUAUCUCUUGUUUAUAUCUUCGCUAUGUAUUUUAUGGAUGACAUCAACUAGUAACUGCAUAGAUCAUGAAGGUUAAUCUUUUUGGAGUACGGUUUUAUUGAUUUAGAAAUUGUUUAGUAACCAACAACACUAUUAAGAUGGGACAGUUUGGCUGCAGCAGCGAUCUGCUGCUGCUACAGUUCCCACUACAGAUCCUUGCCGAAGCUGCAGCUGCUGAUUAAUGAUGAUAAUUUUAAUCCAUCAUGUCAGGGAAUAAUUUCUCCAUAUCUUCACAGGACACAAAACACAAGACACAAAUGACUUUUGAGUAGCUAAAAAUUUGUGGCCUUGCAUCUUUUGCUAAUUAAGUCUAUUGAUAUUUGUGUGUAGGCUAUGCAGGUGAGGCAGUGGAGUGUCAGGUGCAGGCUAAGGUGCUAUGUUGUGUGAGGCAAUAGGGAGUAAAUUAAUUUAGGCUAUGAAAAAUGCAAGUGAUGAAGCUAGAGUUUGAUGUGGAGCAAACAAGUGAUAUGAUCGCCUGCAGUGGUGUGUAGGCAUCUUAUAUGUUUUGGCUUAGGAACAAAUGUUUUGGAUAUCUUUGUUUCAAUAAUGUGUGUGUAAUCUGAGUUUGAAUUUGGAUUAUUUAUUUCUAGAUGUGAAAAAUUAAACAAGUUAAUAUUUUGGUUUAAUGGUUUUAUUCAUUUGGUUUGUUGAUGUCUAUAUUGAGUUUCCAAUUUAUUAACAGCAUUGCAAUAUUGUCUGGUGGCACCAAAGCAAAAUAUUGUGAAAGUUGCUAUUGGCAAUCAAAUUUUCUAUGGUAAUAUAUCGUAUAGCAAUGAACAAUCCAUGUAGCAAUAGCGACUAUACCAUAUAGCAACGACAAUGGGAAUUUGGCAAUUGCCUAUAUUGCUACUACUUCUUGGGGUUGCCACAUAGGUGUUGUUGCCACACUCAUUAUGUGAUGUAAUAGAGGUUGCACCUUAUAGCAACGACUAUACGAAUGUGGCAAUUACACAUGUUGCCACCAGUUCUUGGUGUUGCCACAUAGGUCUUGUUGCCACACUCAUUAUGCGAUGCAAUAUAGGGGCACCUUAUAGCAACCAAACUUUAAGCGUGGCAAUUGCACAUGUUGCCACUACUCCUUAGUGUUGCGACAUAAUCCUUAUUGCCACACAUGUUAUGCGUGGCAAUAUAUUGUCUUGCAACACACGUUCAUCAUUGCUAGUGCACCAUUUGCUACGAUAGGGGCAAGUUGCUAUUGCAAGGUCUAGCAACGCCUAAUGCAUUGCAUUAGUUGUUUUUGCCACACCUACAACCGUAGCAAAACCUUAUGUUGCAAUGCCUUGGUGUUGCAAAACCAAAACACAUUUUGCAACGCUUCCCAAAAAAGCGUUGUCCAAAGCUUUACCCACGCAAGCGCCUGCAACGCCUCCCAACAAAAAAAAGUGUUGUUAUUUCUGCUAUUGCAACUAUUUUAGGACUAUUGCAACACUUUUUGGGCGUUGAAACAUGGUCAAAAUUUAGUAGUGAGUUAUGACUGCCGAUUCAGGGAUGACUAUGUUCAGGAUUACAUAAUGACAGUCGAUUGAUCCAAAUUCAGAUAUGGCUGCUGAUUGAUCUUAUUUUUUAUUAGCCUAGGAAUUACCUGUUUUGCGUAGUAUGCUACUGCUGCUUCUAUAUGUGUGGGUAAUUAACAUAUCUAUAGAAGAAAACUUGUCUGCUUACCCUUUGUGUUUUCCCCAUUUUUUCUUUUUUGAAUCAUGAAUUGGCAUAUAUGAGUAGGAGGGAUCGACGUGUAGAUAGAGAUUUAUGUACAUCUUUUGUUCCUUUGUUUACCAUGUUGAUAGCAGUGCCUCUCUCAAUGUUGCAAUAAGUGCACAGGCUAGGAUAGGGAGCUUUGUUUCCACUGCGGCAUGCAACAAGCAAAUAGGCUAGGUUAGGAUAGGGAGCCCUCAAUGUCUCACAGUUUCAACAUGUUAGAUGUUUAAAGUUUUAAGAGUGUAACAUAGCCUGUAGAUCAAGUUUCUAAUGCAUCUAUUGUUUGACUGUGAUAGUACUGCUAACUAAAACUGUUUAUAUCUGUUUCUAUGGUUAAUUCAGUCCAUAUCUUUUUGUAUUUGCAUUUAAAUGAUUUUCAGUGAUGGAGUCAGGUAGAAAGAGUCAAAUGUGUUUAAAUUGAUUAUAGAAAGUUCAAAGUAGGGGCUAUGACUGAGUGACUAUGAGUGGGUGAUGCCUCGUGAACCCAACACAGUGCCCUUCAUUUCAGGUUUUAGUAGGAAAUAAAUAUGUUGAUCACUUGCCUCAAGGUAUUUCAGGUUUCACAGAGAAACGUGUAACAUGUUUAGUUUUAAAAAUUAAGAAUAGCACUAGCAAUACUCAACAUGUCCUUGCACAAGAGGCCAUCUAUUUAUGGAAAGUUAAGAACAAAUACUUAUUAUUUCAACAUGAGCUUAUAUGAAUUUACCUAUUUGUGCUCAGGCCAUUGGAACUAGGAUGUGGGUAGCCUAUGUGGUGUGUUGCAUUGCUCUAAAGUUGUAAUCAGGUUUUUGUCAAUUGCUAGCACAUAAAGGAUUGAUGUAUGCAGUUCAAUAUUCAAUUCAACAAUCUUAUGCAGAUCUGUGAUAUAUAAACUCUUUUGUGAUAUAUAGACUAUGUGAUACACACUGUUGCAAUAAAUCCUAGUUUAUUUUCCUUUACAUGGGCUGCAUUUGCAUAUUUUAAGUGAGAAAAAGCUUCCUGGAAACUUGAGAUAGGAGCUUGUGGCACAUGUACAGUUAGUAGGCAAAAAAUAACUCGACUUUGAGAUAGCUGUGAUAAUUUUUUUUCAUUUUUGAUUCAUCUAAACAAUCUCGUUGAACCCUAGUGCAAACAAGUCAAAACAAGAGAUACAAUGAGAUCUAAUUUGCAUAUGUGUGUACCGCAACAUUAGCUCGGGUACCACAAGUGUUAAUUUACUAAGUUUCUAUGGAGCACCUAUUUACUACAUGAAUUGACUUUCUCAACACAUAAGUAAGCUUCAAAGAUAUGGAAAACUCAUUAUUUAAGAUCCAAUUAAUUUAGAAAAAAAUGAAGCAUAGUAACUUUGCCUAAACAUGUUACUAAUUGCAUGUUUGGUUUUGGUUUCAGGGUUUGCUAUGGUGCUAGUUAGCAAGUUGGUGGAUGAUUUGCCACUUGAAGCUGAUUUAGGUGCUAGUCUCUCUCUUUUGGAUAACCAGUUACAUGAGCUUCUUAUCUUAGUUCGGCUAGCAAGUAGGUUUACUUGGAGUAUGUUGGUGGGACAUGUGAUAUGAAAUUGGUAAUUAGCAAGUGACUAUUGUAUAUAAUUAGCAAGUGACAUGUAUAUAAGACCCUGGCAGAUCACCUUUGCCUCUUGUUGCUGCAAAUUGAUACUCAUCAUGUUU